GAAAUGCGAUAAUUAAUGUGAAUUGCAGAAUUCAGUGAAUCAUCGAGUCUUUGAACGCACAUUGCCCCCCUGGUAUUCCGGGGGGCAUGCCUGUCCGAGCGUCAUUGCUGCCCUCAAGCACGGCUUGUGUGUUGGGCUUCCGUCCCUGGCAACGGGGACGGGCCCAAAAGGCAGUGGCGGCACCAUGUCUGGUCCUCGAGCGUAUGGGGCUUUGUCACCCGCUCCCGUAGGUCCAGCUGGCAGCUAGCCUCGCAACCAAUCUUUUUAACCAGGUUGACCUCGGAUCAGGUAGGGAUACCCGCUGAACUUAAGC
RNAcentral lists this unclassified non-coding RNA (313 nucleotides) under plant metagenome. Its description in RNAcentral is "partial contains 5.8S ribosomal RNA, internal transcribed spacer 2, and large subunit ribosomal RNA". The stretch from base 1 to 104 matches the Rfam family "5.8S ribosomal RNA", at positions 50 to 154 of the family's 154-position model. The record is from RNAcentral.